GACGAACCGAGCGAACGUUGUUCGGAAUCACUGGGCUUAAAGGGCGCGUAGGCGGGUGCUCAAGUCCGGGGUGAAAUCCUCCAGCUCAACUGGAGAACUGCCUCGGAUACUGGGUGCCUCGAGGGUGAUAGGGGUAUGCGGAACUAUCGGUGGAGCGGUGAAAUGCGUUGAUAUCGAUAGGAACUCCGGUGGCGAAGGCGGCAUACUGGAUCACAUCUGACGCUGAGGCGCGAAAGCCAGGGGAGCAAACAGG
Molecule: ribosomal RNA, 253 nt
Filed under: uncultured bacterium
Lineage: Bacteria
Description: partial 16S ribosomal RNA
Rfam family: Bacterial small subunit ribosomal RNA
Source: RNAcentral